This 2751-nucleotide ribosomal RNA is filed under the name Triticum aestivum (bread wheat). RNAcentral describes it as "partial small subunit ribosomal RNA". The record is from RNAcentral. Lineage: Eukaryota; Viridiplantae; Streptophyta; Magnoliopsida; Poales; Poaceae.
AUGGCGUCGUUCGUGGCCGCGCUGGUGGCAAUCGUGGUCGUGGCGCUGGUGGCGGUGAUGCGGCGCGCGGCCGCGAGGAAGGAGGACGUGCGGCGGACGGCCUGGCUCGCGGCGGAGCAGGCCCAGUUCGCGGAGCGCGACGCGUACUACUACUACGAUCACCACGCCGCGCCUCACUGGACGGCGCCGGACACGACUCAGUGGACGGCGCCGCAGGUGGCCUGGCCACCGGUCGAGCAGAUGGCGGCACCGCCGGUGGCCUGGCCGGCGGUCGAGCAGAUGGCGGCAACGCCGGUGGCCUGGCCGGCGGUCGAGCAGGUGGCGGCAACGCCGGUGGCCUGGCCGCCGGUCGAGAAGGUGGCGGCGCUGCCGGUGGCCUGGCCGCCGGCGGUGAAGGUGGCGGCGCCGGAGGUGGCCUGGCCGCCGGUCGAUCAGGUGGCGGCGCCGCAUGUGGCUUGGCCGCCGGUCGAUCAGGUGGCGGCGCCGGAGGUGGCCUGGCCGCGGGACGAACAUGUGGCCGCGCCGCGGCUCGAACAGGAGGCGGCGACGGAGCCUACGCUAGCGGCAGCGGCGGGGAAGAAGGGGCCGUGUGUGGUGUGCCGCAAGCCGACGACGUUCCGGUGCAAGCGCUGCAAGGGCGUCAAGUAUUGUGCCGUCAAAUGUCAGAUAGCUCACUGGAGACAAGGCCACAAAGAUGAAUGCCAUCCAGUAAGUGCUGAUGCUAGAGAAGACACCACAAUAGAAGCUUCUUCCACGAAAAAAAUUGAACGCACUAGCUCAGAUGAAGAAAGUGUGGUGACUGGAGUCGAGCAAGCAGUUGAAAGCAAGGAGAUGCCCCUUGAGAAGGCGUCCAAUACGUCAGAGGCUUCUCAACAAGAUAGCAAAGAGUUCACAUUUCCUCAGGUUACAGGACAUGCUGAAUCUGCUGACUGUUCGAGUUCUCCAACUUUUGGUAAACCGUGCAAAGUCGAGGGCGCUUCCGUUAGUGAAAAUGGCUCUCACACUCAGAUUCCGGUGGCGUGUGAUCCAUCUGAAAAGGCAGAUGAUCGUCCUGAAUUCUCUGCUAAAUCAGAGAUCGGAGUUGUGGUGCCAGAUGAUUUGCCAACGAAAAGUUUGGUCAGGCAACAAACUGCUCCAACAAUUGUGAGACAUUACUCAUCGGAAUCGACACUUUUUCCGUAUGAACGCUUCGUUAAGCUCUACAACUCUGACAAGGUGGAAUUGCGUCCUUUUGGUCUUUGUAACCUUGGGAACAGUUGCUAUGCAAAUGUCGUGCUUCAGUGUUUGGCCUUUACCCGACCACUUACAGCAUACUUCCUCGAGGGGCUUCAUUCAAAAAACUGUUCCCAAAAGGAAUGGUGCUUUUUGUGCGAGUUUCAAAAACUCAUUGUGGAGGGUAAGCAAGGACAUUCUCCAUUAUCACCUACUGGAAUACUCUCACAUUUGUCUGACAUCGGAAGUAGCUUUGGCCCGGGCGAAGAGGAAGACGCUCAUGAGUUUCUCAGGUACGCAAUUGAUACUAUGCAAUCUGCUAGCAUGAAGGAAGCCAAUGCAAAUGGUGCCCAUAAGUUAGCUGAAGAAACGACACUGAUUCAGCUAAUGUUCGUGGGCUAUCUACGAUCUAAGAUAAAAUGCACAAAGUGUGGGGUCAGUUCAGAACAUUGCGAACGUAUAAUGGAUCUUACUGUGGAAAUAGAUGGGGAUAUCAGUACUCUUGAAGAAGCACUUCAUCGAUUUACAUCUUCAGAAGUCUUAGAUGGCGAUAACAGAUACCAUUGUACCAGAUGCAAGUCAUAUGAACGUGGCAAAAAGAAGUUGACAAUAUCAGAAGCACCAAAUAUCCUGACUAUUGCACUGAAAAGAUAUCAGUCUGGUAUGUUUGGCAAGAUUAACAAGGCCAUCAGGUUCCCGGAAUACUUGAAUUUGUCUAGCUACAUGAGUACAACAGAUGAUUGUUCCCCUGUGUACAGGCUCUAUGCGGUGGUUGUCCACCGUGAUGUUAUGAACUCAUCCGUUUCUGGUCAUUAUAUAUGUUAUGUCAAGGACUCACAGGGGAAAUGGUACGAAAUGGAUGAUAGCCAGGUGAAACCUGUUUCUCUGAAAAAUGUCCGGUCGGAGCGUGCGUAUAUGCUGCUUUAUACAAGGUGUUCACCACGGGCUCCAAGGUCUUUAAGGAAAUUGAUUAUUGCUCAAGGCCUAUCACACACAAGAAAAGCUAGGCAGACAACAGAUCCAGUAUCAACUUGUUUGGAAGGCCGGAGCCAUUUUAGCAGGCACCAAGGUACGCAAUGGCAGUCAUGCAGGGAUCAUGUAAUGAAUGGCCACACCUACAAGCUGGUUACGUCUGGUGGCUCAUCAAAUCCAGUAUUAGAGCCCACAAGUACAAGCGAGGAUUCUUCGCUGUUCAGCCAUUCUGAUGUAGGGUCAAGUGGCAAUUUAAGCAGCGAUAACACUGACAGCACAAAGAACCCAGGCAGCACGAAGGAGUGCACAUUUGGAAGCUCGGAUCAAAUGCACCCAGUCAGUACAGUGGUGAUGCCUGAGGAGCAUUCGCGGCAGAUGUCCAGCUUGAACCCUAGCUCUUCAACCCAAUAUGCUGAUCAAGGUGAGGUUGACAGGCUGCACCAGCUCAACCUUCAGGCGAGCAAAGGGGUUUGGGAUGAGGGUUGUGAGACCCCAUCCUUCUUCUAUGUUGACCAAGGUGGCCUGUAUGGAUGUCAGGACCCAGGAUUUAGUGCCCAUCCCAUUUAG